This 2527-nucleotide long non-coding RNA is filed under the name Vigna radiata. RNAcentral's name for it is "long non-coding RNA (VRAD_LNC013153)". Lineage: Eukaryota; Viridiplantae; Streptophyta; Magnoliopsida; Fabales; Fabaceae. The record is from RNAcentral.
AUACGUACACGCUACUAGUUAAAUGAACCCAAAAUACAAUAUAGCCUUUCUCCUCUGUUGUCAUUCACGUAAACCCAAUGGAAGGCUCCCUUCUUUUAUUCAACUCUUAAUUCUUCAUUCUAUUAUUUUACUAUUUUUGGUUUUACUUACUUUAAACUACAAGCAUACCCACCAAUCUACGAAAGACAACAACCCCUCCAACAUUAUUUUCUUACCGCCAAGCUCUCUCUCUCUCUCAAGCACUUAACGUUUUCCACCCACACGUUCACCAACCUUCUUCUUUUCCUCGUUCUUAACAGUCCAGCCCCCUCACUCUUCUUUUACUUAUACUACCUAAGACCAUACAGCUCAUGCAUAAGACCCUUCCAUUCCUUUUUGCUAUCUUACACCACUAACGCAUCCCCCAACAAAGAAACCUUAUCCCAUGCAACUUCCCAACUUAACCAUCGCACACUAUGUAUACAAGAGAACCCAUACAACAUUCAUCAUUCUUUCUCACUUUACAACCAACUUAAACCCACGUUCUUCCCUAAGAUCCAGCUUCUCCACCAUGUAUACUUACAAUGCUAAUCCCAAAACCGAUACUUCACCUUCAUCUUUCAACGUUUCCUUUUUCUUUUCCCAACUACACAUCUACAAAUACCCGUUCUCCUAUAUCUAUUUUGCUCCAACACACAACCACUAACGCUCUCACCUUCUCACCCUUAAAACCUCACGCCCAAAUAGCAACCUGAACAUAAAUUCUCCCUCCCAUGCAAUGCCUACAAACCUUUCUCUCCCACGCUACUAUAUCCAAUCCAUUACCACUCGUUUAUGACCACUGAACCCACUCAAGAAAUUCACUCCAUAACGUCAAACUACCACGAGCAACAUUUAAAAGAGUAACACGACGUUUCCUGGUUAGAGUCCCUCUCAUACACACUUUAACUCUCUCUUCCUUACUCUAUCUUCUUCUUUUUAAACCUAGUUCACCUCCUUCUUCCUUCUUUCCAACUAAGCAACAUAUAUAAAUAUAUCAAUAUUUAUAUAACCUAACCUAUUCUUGAUACAGGAAACUUAUGCAUGAAACCAACUUCCUCCUUCACUACCAACCCGCACCAAUUAUGACCACCUCAAAAAGGGACUUAAGCUUACUCCAAUACAGUGCAUACAUAAAUAAGAAACCUAAAACACACUAUUCAUGCUACCAGACUCACCUUCAGGUUAUUGUGGAGAGAAGAAAAUAUUAGCCAAUCUCCUGAACGUGUGAACUUGUUCCUACACUGCAACAAUGCUAAUCUUCAAAGCACAAUACUCUCCUGCUCUCACUUCUCUUUCUAACAACCCAACCCACAGAAAGUUACACCUUCUUUCUCCAACUCGUGCCAACAUUGUCCCAAUAUCACUCCAUCCAUUUUCAUUCAUACACCAUUAAACCCUGAACCUGUCUUCCAUUCUCCCUCUUCUUUUCCGUAUUUCAAACACGCACCCAUCUAUAUAUUUAUUAUGCUAACUCACAUAAAUUGGGAUGUAGAACAAGAAUUCGAAGUAGAAACAAGAAGAAAAUCAAUAACAUCACACAAACCCAAACACAUAAACAUUCUAGUCACUACCCUUACCUUGGCUUCUAGAGGUUCCCUCCAGUUCUUUGAUUCCCAGAAAGGUUUGGAAGUCUCCUACUCUCCCGUGGCAGCCUCAACACCCCUGGCAGCACCUUGGAGCCUCAAGACUAACACCUUUUCGUUCCCUGUAUUCCCAGCGUGGCUAGUAACCAUGAAGCUCUCCCUCUCGAUCAUUCUAACUCUCCCUCGGGUUGAAGCUGGAAGAUAGGGUUAUGAUUGGCUCCUACCUUCUCGCGGCUGCUCUCAAUCCUCCUUCUAGACUUAACCUAAAAAGAACUUCUCAAAACUCCCUCAUUCUUCUCCGUCAAGGACCGAAAAUAUCCUCCUAUUUACUCCCAAUAUUUUGUACCAAAAAAAACCACUUUAAAGUUUCCUUUCUAGACCUAUAAUACUUUCCUUAAUUAACUUAGCAUUCAAGGUGCAAUAUCUGUGAUUUGAAUGACAAUAAAGAGGUGUCCAACCGUUAAGCAUCAUCUAAUAAAAUACAAUUCCAAACAAUAUCCUGUAAGGAAUCCUAAAGGUGAAGGGACAACAACCUUGAAGCCACCCUCUGCCCAUGCCACGAAUCUACAGUGUAGUGACUGGAAGAAUAAAAUUAACACCAGGAACCUAUUCUCUCUCUUCGUAACACCACAUUACCAUGCCCACAACAUUAUAAACGUUCCUUUCUCUCUCUUUCACUUCAUACGCACACUGCAUGCACUCAAAUGACUUCUCUCACUCCAACAAGCUUGCAACACUACAAGCAUAAAAUAAACCAAUUUCUAUUGGCUAAAGAGUCUCCCUUGGGACCCACACGUGAAUGCACAAGGAGAAAUAUAACAAACUUAAUUUUCUUCUCUCCUUUCACCUCCCCACGUGAAACCACAACAUUCCUUCAUUAAUUCACACGUUAUGAUGGGCCAAGGUGGGUCCCACCAUUAACC